RNAcentral lists this ribosomal RNA (424 nucleotides) under uncultured bacterium. Its description in RNAcentral is "partial 16S ribosomal RNA". It matches the Rfam family "Bacterial small subunit ribosomal RNA", at positions 360 to 776 of the family's 1533-position model. The record is from RNAcentral.
AAUUUUGGACAAUGGGGGAAACCCUGAUCCAGCCAUCCCGCGUGUAUGAUGAAGGCCGUCUUGUUGUAAAGUACUUUUGUCAGAGAAGAAAAUGCAUCCCCUAAUCCGGGAUGCUGCUGACGGUACCUCCAGAAUAAGCACCGACUAACUACGUCCCAGCAGCCGCGGUAAUACGUAGCUUGCAAGCGUUAAUCGGAAUUACUGGGCGUAAAGCGUGUGUAGGCGGUUAGGAAAGAAAGAUGUGAAAUCGCAGGGCUCGACCUUGGAACUGCAUUUUUAACUGCCGAGCUAGAGUAUGUCAGAGGGGGGUAGAAUUCCACGUGUAGCAGUGAAAUGCGUAGAUAUGUGGAGGAAUACCGAUGGCGAAGGCAGCCCCCUGGGAUAAUACUGACGCUCAGACACGAAAGCGUGGGGAGCAAACAGG